Haliaeetus leucocephalus (bald eagle) is the source of this 702-nucleotide long non-coding RNA. RefSeq lists it as uncharacterized. The record is from RefSeq and is a predicted model, not a curated record. NCBI's taxonomy places the organism in Eukaryota, Metazoa, Chordata, Aves, Accipitriformes, Accipitridae. The transcript is spliced from 3 exons.
CCUUUAGAAGACCUUGAAGAGAAUAAACAAGAAGACAAAAAAAGAAAGACGCCAAUUAGAAGAACACAGGCGUUUGUUUCUACCUCCUGCAAAUGGUGACCCCGACGUGGCCCUGAGAGCGCAGAAGACGCAGCAGGAGAAGCCCUGGUUGGAGGUACUGCUGUCGGCGGGACCAAAGCAGGGAAGCUGAGCCUAGGCUAAGAAGACACCUGAAAGGAAGCUGUAUGGGCAACAGCACAGACAGGAGAAACAAGUCGACAUGUCCAGCGACACCUGCGUUUGGCUUUUGCAGCACACGGCAUUCCACUUCAGAUAAAAACUGACAAUGGGCCAUGCUACAUCGCACAGACAACUCAAAAGUUUUUUAGUCAAUGGGGUAAUAUUGUACAUACCAUGGGUAUACCACAUUCCCCUACAGGCCAGGCAAUUGUAAAACGCAUGAAUCAGAUUUUGAAAUGCCAACUGGAAAAACAAAAAGGGGGAGAGCAGAUGGCUACUCCUCACGAACGAUUGAACAAAGUUGUAUAUGUGUUGAAUUACUUGAGAUUGACAGAUGGCGAAAGUGUACCACCAAUUGUAAAACAUGUGCAAGGCAUGGUAGGAGAUUUGUUUGACAUUAAUAGCAAUGUUCAAGUUAGGGUUAAAAAUGUUGAGAAAAAUGUAUGGGAAGGACCAUUUCAAUUAAUAACCUGGGGACGAGGU